This 253-nucleotide ribosomal RNA is filed under the name uncultured bacterium. Its description in RNAcentral is "partial 16S ribosomal RNA". It matches the Rfam family "Bacterial small subunit ribosomal RNA", at positions 524 to 776 of the family's 1533-position model. The record is from RNAcentral.
UACGUAGGGUCCGAGCGUUGUCCGGAAUUAUUGGGCGUAAAGAGCUCGUAGGCGGUUUGUCGCGUCUGCUGUGAAAUCCCGAGGCUCAACCUCGGGUCUGCAGUGGGUACGGGCAGACUGGAGUGCGGUAGGGGAGAAUGGAAUUCCUGGUGUAGCGGUGGAAUGCGCAGAUAUCAGGAGGAACACCAAUGGCGAAGGCAGAUCUCUGGGCCGUAACUGACGCUGAGGAGCGAAAGCAUGGGGAGCGAACAGG